RNA transcript from Cheilinus undulatus (humphead wrasse), 8822 nucleotides. It is a transcript of the gene named YdjC chitooligosaccharide deacetylase homolog, with no coding region annotated. The transcript has 7 exons. NCBI's taxonomy places the organism in Eukaryota, Metazoa, Chordata, Actinopteri, Labriformes, Labridae. The record is from RefSeq and is a predicted model, not a curated record.
CAGGAUGUUACAUCAAAUUAUCGUGUUUGAGCACUUCUGGAUCUGCCGGGCGGAGCCGAGAGAGUGACCGAGGAUGAGAGGCUGUGACCGGCAGAGGAGAGGGUAGACCUCCCGGUGGUGAGACCGGAGCUCCGGAGGGUCAGAGACCCAGAGAGGAACUACUGGGAGAAGUUUAGUCAUGGUUUUAAUGGUUCUACUGGGGCUAGUUAAGAAGGAUUUAAUCCUCACAUGAAGAUUUCCUACCAGAUUAAGACUCCGCUCUGAGACGGACCAGAUCCACGUCGGACUAAAGACAGAGAGCAGAGACGAUGCCACAGAGCAGGAUGAAGCUGGUGGUGACGGGAGAUGACUUUGGUUACUGUCCCAGGAGGAACCAGGGCAUCGUCGACUGUUUCCAGGCCGGAGGACUGUCCAACGUGUCGCUGCUGGUCAACGCCGCCGCCGCUAAGGAGGCCGCUGAUCUGGCCAAGAGACACAGCAUCCCCAUCGGUCUCCAUGCCAACCUGUCCGAGGGCGUCCCCGUGUGCCAGGGUCUGCAGGCGGACUCCACGCUAGUGAACCAGAGGGGGUUCUUCCAUGGGAAGAUGGGUUUCAGAAAAGCUCUGGAGAGAGGACAGCUCAGCAUGAAGCAGGUGGAGCUGGAGCUCAGAGCUCAGGUGAGGCUCUUCACGGAGCUGACGGGUCAUCUUCCUCACCACAUGGAUGGGCACCAACACGUCCACGUCCUCCCAGGUGUGCGCGAGGUGUUUGCCCAGGUGUUGUCCGACCUCAGCAUCACCUUCACUCGUGUUCCGGUUGAGGCUGGCUUACACAGCUGUACCUGGCUGCCUCCUCACCUGCACAGGUUCCACACCCAGGUGGAGAGAGACGCUCUGGAUGCCAUCCCUGUCUUCACACGCUACGGGAUCAGAUGGCCUGACUCGUACUUCGGUCUGACCACGAUGGGAUGCAACAUGUCCGUGUCCAACCUGCACAGGGCGCUCCGCCUGGCGUUCUCGGCGGGCUGCUCGGCUCCUUCCUCUGGUGGGGACGACUCUGAUCAACCCGUGGUCACCGCAGAGCUCAUGGUCCACCCGGGUUACCCCAGCCUGCCCCAGCAGGGGGGGUGUGGAGAGGGGCCUGACGACUUCUCCCGGUCAGCUGACAGACAGCAUGAACUGAGCGUGCUCAGGGACCCCGCCCUGCUGGAAGUGUACAGGCAGGAGAGAGUGCAGCUGUGUGCCUUCAAAGACCUCUGACACCAACACCACCAACCAACCCUGUGCUCAUAUAUUAGUUGACUACAUUUCCCCUCAGCCCCAGGCAGGUCAAAGGUCACGAAUAGAGCAGACUUAAACUCCAGGAAUUAGCGACAGGCGUGUAACAGAAACACAUUCAUAGUCCUUGAUUAUCUCUGACUAUAGAUCAGUACUGAUCAUCGACCCCCACCCAUCACUUCAGGCAGUGGUUCUCAACUGGAGGGUCAGGACCCACGAGUAGGUGGUAAACAGGUGGAAAAAUUCUAGGAGUAAAUUCUGGAGUCUGACUGACUUAUCCUGCUGUCUCAGAAACACCUUGUAGAAAGCUGAUUUCCAGUGAUAAUGCCAUUGUUUCUGCAGAUCUUAAACAAAUCUACUUUAUCGUGGGAAAACUGAAACAACACGUUUACAUGUGUGACCUCCCAAAGGCCUGUCCGCUCUCUUUGUUCAGUCUGAUGUUUGAAUCUAAUUUUUAAUUGAAUGAAUUUCAUUGUUUGAAAAUGAAAGAGCUGUGGGUCAUAAUGUCACAUUCAUAGAGGUGGAGGGUCGUUGGGCUAGGACAGUUCAGAACCACUGAUUUAUGGUGUUAGAGUAUCUCCCACCAACACGUACCAGCAGCCUGUUGCACCAGCUGGGUAUAAGUUCAGCCUAUAGUUCUGGUGUAAAGUCCACCCUUAACCCAACGUUUAGACUUGUUCGGCCUAAAGUUCAGGUGUAAAGUCCACCCUUAACCCAACGUUUAGACUGGUUCAGCCUAAAGUUCUGGUGUAAAGUCCACCCUAAACCCAACAUUUAGACUGGUUCAGCCUAAAGUUCUGGUGUAAAAUCCACCCUUGACCCAACGUUUAGACUGGUUCAGCCUAAAGUUCUGGUGUAAAGUCCACCCAUAACCCAACGUUUAGACUGGUUCAGCCUAAAGUUCUGGUGUAAAAUCCACCCUUAACCCAACAUUUAGACUGGUUCAGCCUAAAGUUCUGGUGUAAAGUCCACCCAUAACCCAACGUUAAGACUGGUUCAGCCUAAAGUUCUGGUGUAAAAUCCACCCUUAACCCAACGUUUAGACUGGUUCAGCCUAAAGUUCUGGUGUAAAGUCCACCCAUAACCCAACGUUAAGACUGGUUCAGCCUAAAGUUCUGGUGUAAAGUCCAUCCUAAACCCAACGUUUAGACUAGUUAAGCCUAAAGUUCUGGUGUAAAAUCCACCCUUAACCCAACAUUUAGACUGGUUCAGCCUAAAGUUCUGGUGUAAAGUCCACCCAUAACCCAACGUUUAGACUGGUUCAGCCUAAAGUUCUGGUGUAAAGUCCACCCAUAACCCAAAGUUUAGACUGGUUCAGCCUAAAGUUCUGGUUUAAAGUCCACCCUAAACCCAACGUUUAGACUGGUUCAGCCUAAAGUUCUGGUGUAAAGUCCAUCCUAAACCCAACGUUUAGACUGGUUCAGCCUAAAGUUCUGGUGUAAAGUCCACCCUAAACCCAACGUUUAGACUGGUUCAGCCUAAAGUUCUGGUGUAAAGUCUACCCUAAACCCAACGUUUAGACUGGUUCAGCCUAUAGUUCUGGUGAAAAUUCCACCCUUAACCCAACAUUUAGACUGAUUCAGCCUAAAGUUCUGGUGUAAAGUCCACCCUUCACCCAACGUUUAGACUGGUUCAGCCUAAAGUUCUGGUGUAAAGUCCACCCUAAACCCAACGUUUAGACUGGUUCAGCCUAAAGUUCUGGUGUAAAGUCCACCCUAAACCCAACGUUUAGACUGGUUCAGCCUAAAGUUCUGGUGUAAAGUCCAUCCUAAACCCAACGUUUAGACUGGUUCAGCCUAAAGUUCUGGUGUAAAGUCCACCCUAAACCCAACGUUUAGACUGGUUCAGCCUAAAGUUCUGGUGUAAAGUCCACCCUAAACCCAACGUUUAGACUGGUUCAGCCUAAUGUUCUGGUGUAAAGUCUACCCUAAACCCAACGUUUAGACUGGUUCAGCCUAUAGUUCUGGUGUAAAGUCCACCCUUAACCCAACGUUUAGACUGGUUCAGCCUUAAUUUCUGGUGUAAAGUCCACCCUAAACCCAACGUUUAGACUGGUUCAGCCUAAAGUUCUGGUGUAAAGACCACCCUAAACCCAACGUUUAGACUGGUUCAGCCUAAAGUUCUGGUGUAAAGUCCACCCUAAACCCAACGUUUAGACUGGUUCAGCCUAAAGUUCUGGUGUAAAGUCCACCUUAAACCCAACGUUUAGACUGGUUCAGCCUAAAGUUCUGGUGUGAAGUCCACCCUAAACCCAACAUUUAGACUUGUUCAGGUGUAAAGUUCACCCUAAACCCAACGUUUAGACUUGUUCAGGUGUAAAGUCCACCCUUAACCCAACAUUUAGACUGGUUCAGCCUAAAGUUCUGGUGUAAAAUCCACCCUUCACCCAACGUUUAGACUGGUUCAGCCUAAAGUUCUGGUGUAAAGUCCACCCAUAACCCAACGUUUAGACUGGUUCAGCCUAAAGUUCUGGUGUAAAGUCCACCCAUAACCCAAAGUUUAGACUGGUUCAGCCUAAAGUUCUGGUUUAAAGUCCACCCUAAACCCAACAUUUAGACUUGUUCAGGUGUAAAGUCCACCCUUAACCCAACAUUUAGACUGAUUCAGCCUAAAGUUCUGGUGUAAAGUCCACCCUUCACCCAACGUUUAGACUGGUUCAGCCUAAAGUUCUGGUGUAAAGUCCACCCUAAACCCAACGUUUCGACUGGUUCAGCCUAAAGUUCUGGUGUAAAGUCCACCCUAAACCCAACGUUUAGACUGAUUCAGCCUAAAGUUCUGGUGUCAAGUCCACCCUAAACCCAACGUUUAGAUUUGUUCAGGUGUAAAGUCCACCCUUAACCCAACAUUUAGACUGGUUCAGCCUAAAGUUCUGGUGUAAAGUCCACCCUAAACCUAACGUUUAGACUGGUUCAGCCUUAAUUUCUGGUGUAAAGUCCACCCUAAACCCAACGUUUAGACUGGUUCAGCCUAAAGUUCUGGUGUAAAGUCCACCCUAAACCCAACGUUUAGACUGGUUCAGCCUAAAGUUCUGGUGUAAAGUCCACCCUAAACCCAACGUUUAGACUGGUUCAGCCUAAAGUUCUGGUGUAAAAUCCACCCUAAACCCAACGUUUAGACUGGUUCAGCCUAAAGUUCUGGUGUAAAGUCCACCCUAAACCCAACGUUUAGACUGAUUCAGCCUAAAGUUCUGGUGUCAAGUCCACCCUAAACCCAACGUUUAGACUUGUUCAGGUGUAAAGUCCACCCUUAACCCAACAUUUAGACUGGUUCAGCCUAAAGUUCUGGUGUAAAGUCCACCCAUAACCCAACGUUAAGACUGGUUCAGCCUAAAGUUCUGGUGUAAAGUCCACCCUUAACCCAACAUUUAGACUGGUUCAGCCUAAAGUUCUGGUGUAAAGUCCACCCAUAACCCAACGUUUAGACUGGUUCAGCCUAAAGUUCUGGUGUAAAGUCCACCCUAAACCCAACGUUUAGAUUUGUUCAGGUGUAAAGUCCACCCUAAACCCAACGUUUAGACUUGUUCGGCCUAAAGUUCUGGUGUAAAGUCCACCCUUAACCCAACGUUUAGACUGGUUCAGCCUAAAGUUCUGGUGUAAAGUCCACCCUUAACCCAACGUUUAGACUGGUUCAGCCUAAAGUUCUGGUGUAAAGUCCACCCUAAACCCAACGUUUAGACUGGUUCAGCCUAAAGUUCUGGUGUAAAGUCCACCCUAAACCCAACGUUUAGACUGGUUCAGCCUAAAGUUCUGGUGUAAAGUCCACCCUAAACCCAACGUUUAGACUGGUUCAGCCUAAAGUUCUGGUGUAAAGUCUACCCUAAACCCAACGUUUAGACUGGUUCAGCAUUAAGUUCUGGUGUAAAGUCCACCCUAAACCCAACAUUUAGACUUGUUCAGGUGUAAAGUCCACCCUAAACCCAACGUUUAGACUGGUUCAGGUGUAAAGUCCACCCUAAACCCAACGUUUAGACUUUAGACAAACAGCGUCCAAAGUGAAUGAAAAUUAUGAUAAGGCCUAUGUGAGUUUUGAAACCCACAGCCUAAACCUAGAGCCAGUAUAAAACACCAACACUGGCAUCUAGUGGUGGAAUCGAUAAUAACACCAGAUAAUUUAACAGUGGACGGUGGAAAUGAUCUCCACUCAUGGGAAACAACAGAGUUACAGAUCCUGGAGAACGCAGAGCUGACACCAAAGUGACGGUGAAAUCCUCAACUCCUCGCCAUCCUCCGGGUUGUCCCAUCUCUCUGAGCUAUCACUUUGACCGCCUUGUUCUACAGCGGACUUUAACCCUAGUAGAGGGUAGGUGUAAGAUUUAAGUUAGAACUUUAGCCUAUGUUGAAACUAUCACUGCUGGUGCAACACCUUAAAUGUUAGCAGAGAGUACACUCUGACGUUCAGACUGGGCCAUGUCUGAACUUAUCACAGCUGGUGGAACCAUAGCUGACCUGGGUUUACACUGACAGUGUUGAAUAACUGAAGAAUCCCUCAGAGGGGACCAUGGUUUAAUAUUCUAGAGUAGAAAUGAAGGAAGUAUUAGAGGAAGUUCAGGCUCAGGAUUGUAACUCUAAGUAGAGACACCACAGCAGCACUACAGGAUCCCGUUUAAACUCACAUUAACAUCCCGUUUGGUGGUCCAGACCCUCUGGUGAUCUUUGAUGGUUUAGAUGGGCACCUCAGUGACAAUGGUCCGAUACCCGAGGGUUCAGAGUGAUGCAGAGGUGGUCUAGGAUGUCUUCAUCUAGUCACGAUUACUGGCCCACAUUAAAGACCACACCAGCAGCUGACCUGGUCUGCUGUAUUCUGAUCGUAAACUAAAGUCAUGGCAUGGUUUCUGUCCGUCCAGCCUCACUCAGACCAAUGAGGACUACGGCUCUGUUUAGGGUGCACUCACACCAGAGCCGGUUGGUCCACUUUGAAUGGUCCGUUUCCCUGGAUAAUCCAGUUCAUUUGGAGUGGACUGAAAGCUCAUCUGGACUCUGGUGUGGACCAAACAAGUGAACUCCUGUCCCCUUAAAAAUGAGGGACUUGGUUCUCUUCUAGACUAACUCUGGUGUGGAUCUAUUGAGUUGUGGAAGCAAAGCGGAUCGACUUGUGAACCGACGACAGGGAGUGACAAACGUAAUGACUUAUGGAUCUAUUUAUGUCAUUUAGUACUCAAAUACAUGCUGGUGCCCCCAGGGACCAUGACUGUCUCUGACUCUCAGGUCCAGUCCUGAUUCACCUGCUGCAUGUCUGCUCAUGCUGACACCAAAGCAAAAGCAGGAACCAGACUGCAUAGUGGUGUUUCAGAUUUCUGGUUUCAUCUUCUUCUCUUCUUCACUGCUCUUUAUUUAGGUGAAAACACCACAAACGUGUAACGGUUGACUUUAUCCAAACGGUUACGUUUGUACGUUAGAGCCCCGAACCAAACCAAGUCCCCCGGACUAUCAGGAGUGAAAACCACCUGAGAGAUCUGGAUGGUUUAGCAUAGCCCAGGAUAAAGGAUGGUCCUUAAGCUCCCACACAGAUCUCCUUUGGUACCAGUCUGACUUUUUAGUCUUUUAACAGCAAAAACCGAAAAAGGAAGCCAGCCCUCAAACAGGAGCUGGCUCCUGUUGUUCACUGGUCACUUGUUGGGAACCACCAGCCAAUAGACCUCCUGAUUGCUUACAUCACUGAUCACAUGACCUUGACCUUCCACAGCAUCACCACCUGCAGGCUCCAGGUGGAGGUAACGCUGAGACUACCUGCACCCCUACAGGGCCUGAAGUCUGAGCUCCAGGCUUCACAGAUACCUGCAGAUCUCAGGUGUGGUGGCGGACCAUUCACGGCAGCGGUGCUGAAAAAGUCUCGUCAACCAGACAGCCACUGCUGGAACAUUGGCACUCUGAUCACGGGCCGUUAUGUAGCGACAGCCAUCAGGGCGUUAAUGCUGAAUAUAAGUGGGGUCAUGCUGCCCGGUGGUCUGAUUUUAAAGGUUUGUUCUUUCUAGAAGCCAUAAAAUCGCUCUGCUGUGUCUGAUCACAGGCGGACAUUUUUGCACAUUUUUAUGAAGACUUUAAACUGAAAUAAGCGAGCACACCUACAUCCUGAUGAAGUUUCAGACUGAUGACACUACACACCACUGCUCUGUCACAGUUAGAGCGCCACCUCCUGGUAAUCAGGGUUAGACAUGUGAGAUUUUUCUGCAGGGAAACAUCAGACCCAUGUGGAGCAUCCUGUAAAACCCAACCACAGACGACAAAAACAGUCACCAUGGAAACAGGAACUCAACAGAUAUGAGUGACCAUCAGGAUCAGGACUGAUGUUGGUCCAAACCCUAAACUCAUUCACACAGGGAAUCUGUUUUGGUGUUUGGUAUUUCUACUGAUGACCCCUGAACCCCUGACAGUCAGAGGAGGAUUCUUAAUCUCUCAAUGUGUAAAUAAUAGUAAUAAUAAUAAUAUAAAAACAUCAGUGACCCAUUCAAAGCUGGGAUAAAGCCCUUCAAAGAAGUCAGAUUUGCACAUAGAAUAUAAAAAUAAAUGUCUAUUUUUAAUGAGUAUAGUUUGACUAUUUAUAAGUAAUAGAACAGCCAGGUGAAGGCUUUAACCCUUUAAUGGCACACAUUUAUCUGUGCAGAUUUAUUUCUAAUAUUUAAAGGCUGCUGUCUCAGUCACAUGUUCUCAGCUCUUUAAUGUCUGAAUGAUCAUCUAAUGUUCAUGUUCACUUCAGACUCAGGAUGUGUGAAACUGGAUUUUGAUGACCAGGUUUUAUCUUUCUAAUGUCAGAAUGAAGUUUAAAAUGAGUGAAUGAUUGAGGUCUAUCCUGUUGUGAUCGUGAAUAACCAGAGAAAGACUGAUGAUACUGUAUGAUAGAGGAUGUCUGUCAGAGGUAAACAGCUGAGUGAAGCUGCUAUGGAGAGUGAUGACUGAGAUUACCUGGGCCUGAUGAUCCUGGUUAGGACUCUGAUCUAAGCCUCUAUGGAGACCAAUGUCUGAGAUUACCUGGGCCUGAUGAUCCUGGUUAGGACUCUGAUCUAAGCCUCUAUGGAGACCAAUGACUGAGAUUACCUGGGCCUGAUGAUCCUGGUCAGGUCUCUGAUCUAUGCUUUUAUGGAGACUGAUGACUGAGAUUACCUGGACCUGAUAAGUCUGGUCAGGAAUCUGAUCUAAGCCUCUAUGGAGACUGAUGACUGAGAUUACCUGGACCUGAUAAGUCUGGUCAGGAUUCUGAUCUAAGCCUCUAUGGAGACUGAUGACUGAGAUUACCUGGGCCUGAUGAGUCUGGUCAGGACUCUGAUCUAAGCCUCUAUGGAGACUGAUGACUGAGAUUACCUGGGCCUGAUGAUCCUGGUCAGGACUCUGAUCUAAGCCUCUAUGGAGACUGAUGACUGAGAUUACCUGGACCUGAUAAGUCUGGUCAGGACUCUGAUCUAAGCCUCUAUGGAGACUGAUGACUGAGAUUACCUGGGCCUGAUGAUCCUGGUCAGGAUUCUGAUCUAAGCCUCUAUGGAGACUGAUGACUGAGAUUACCUGGACCUGAUAAGUCUGGUCAGGACUCUGAUCUAAGCCUCUAUGGAGACUGAUGACUGAGAUUACCUGGGCC